AACGCGAAGAACCUUACCUGGGCUCGAACGGCUGGUCAACGGAGGUGGAAACAUCUUUACCCCGCAAGGGGGUCCAGUCGAGGUGCUGCAUGGCUGUCGUCAGCUCGUGUCGUGAGAUGUUGGGUUAAGUCCCGCAACGAGCGCAACCCUUGUCCUGUGUUGCCAUGCCGAAAGGCGGAACUCGCAGGAGACCGCCAGCGAUAAGCUGGAGGAAGGUGGGGAUGACGUCAAGUCCUCAUGGCCUUUAUGUCCAGGGCUACACACGUGCUACAAUGGACGGUACAAAGGGUCGCUAACCCGCGAGGGGGAGCCAAUCCCAAAAAACCGUUCUCAGUUCGGAUUGCAGGCUGCAACCCGCCUGCAUGAAGCUGGAAUCGCUAGUAAUGGCAGAUCAGCACGCUGCCGUGAAUACGUUCCCGGGCCUUGUA
This 428-nucleotide ribosomal RNA is filed under the name uncultured Acidobacterium sp. Its description in RNAcentral is "bacterial SSU rRNA". It matches the Rfam family "Bacterial small subunit ribosomal RNA", at positions 958 to 1385 of the family's 1533-position model. The record is from RNAcentral. Lineage: Bacteria; Pseudomonadati; Acidobacteriota; Terriglobia; Terriglobales; Acidobacteriaceae.